AUUGAACGCUGGCGGAAUGCUUUACACAUGCAAGUCGAACGAUGAACCUUAGCUUGCUAAGGGGAUUAGUGGCGAACGGGUGAGUAGUGUAUCGGAACGUAUCCAAUAAUGGGGGAUAACUAGUCGAAGGAUUAGCUAAUACCGCAUACGUCCUACGGGAGAAAGCUAGGGACCUUCGGGCCUGGCGUUAAUGGAGCGGCCGAUAUCUGAUUAGCUAGUUGGUGGGGUAAAGGCUCACCAAGGCGACGAUCAGUAGCUGGUCUGAGAGGACGACCAGCCACACUGGAACUGAGACACGGUCCAGACUCCUACGGGAGGCAGCAGUGGGGAAUUUUGGACAAUGGGCGAAAGCCUGAUCCAGCCAUUCCGCGUGAGUGAAGAAGGCCUUCGGGUUGUAAAGCUCUUUCGCAAGAGAAGAAAACUUAAGCUCUAACAUAGCUUGAGGUUGACGGUACCUUGAUAAGAAGCACCGGCUAACUACGUGCCAGCCGCCGCAGUAA
This 500-nucleotide ribosomal RNA is filed under the name uncultured bacterium. RNAcentral's name for it is "partial 16S ribosomal RNA". It matches the Rfam family "Bacterial small subunit ribosomal RNA", at positions 30 to 523 of the family's 1533-position model. The record is from RNAcentral.